UAUUCGUUUAACUGUUUUAUUCUUUUAUCGCUAAUUUACUACAGAGAUUUUGCACUUACAUCAUUUUAGUUUGUGGCACUGGGGGAAAGAAAUCUUAUUUCAAAAAGACUGAUUCAGGUUGAAAUUCUCAAGGAUCCCUGUGCCACCUGCACUAAUCCAGCAACUGCAUUAUGUGUGUGGUGAACAGUGCUGAUAGACAGUCGUGAUUUUUCCACAACAGCUGUUUUAAGAAAGAAGCCUCUGAAAACUUCCAGUGACCCAGUCCCUAUAACAAAGCACAUGCAAAAUGUCAAAAAACAUGUUGAAUUCAUAAAAAGACACAGUGCCUGUACAAAGGUGCAAUGCCUGAUAUUUGAGGGAUUAAUGGUAAUCUUCUACCCUUUCUAGGUGCCUGUACAAAGCCAGACAGUAUCAAGUGAUUUAAAGGAGCCCCUGUAUCAUUUACUGCCAUUGUCAGACGCUCUGCGAUCGAUGAACGUCUUGAUUGUUGAUUCCACCUCCACAGUGGUUCUGCUAACUGGGAUGUGAUCCACGCCAUCUGCCUCGUGAUCUAUCACACAACAAUGUAGUGAAAAAAGAGAUCACGUGAUGCAAACAUCCUAUGUUUUGUGUCUGAAAAUAAGUUGAGAAAAAUUUAGGUCAGAGUAUAUGGGACAGAAAACAAACUGUGUGCCAAGAUACACCAUACAUGUUGUUUAUGUGUGUGUAUACAUAUGUAUAAUUCAUGCUUUUAUCCUUAAACAUCAACAAAAGUUUGUUAUCAACAACAAAGCAAGCUAUGCUUCAGUAAAAGUUUCAAAAUUGGCUCAGUUGGAACAGACUUUUGCAGGUCUUUAAACAGUUGCUGUUUUUAUUAUGUGUCCAAAAGUAUUCAUAAGUAAUAUACGAUGGAUCAGAAUUUAUUGACAUUCAGCUGCCUGCAUGCCGUGUUAUCUCGGAACCUCAUAAUCUCCAAACAGGCAAGCAAACACAUUUUCCUCUCACUAAUGUGUUCUUCCUUCUCCAAUAGCCCCUCGUACUCCUUCAUUUUUUUACCUCAAUCUCUAUGGUGAGCUUGGUGAUCGGUUCAUUGACUUUCUUCUCCCACCACCUUUGGCGUCUUGAAAAAAAAUCCAACAGUCAGUUUUGUUUUCUUUCCUAGUGCCUAUAGAAGCUACCUGGCUGUUCUCGGUUCUCAUUCUGCCCGGGCACAGUUGCUUGUUCUGCCACAUUCUGGGAAUUGGCAGGCUUCUGCUUUACAUGAGAUACCCACGAGAGAUGUCCCAAAUGCAGAUGGCAUCUAACUGUCUGGGGGAUGUCACUCAAAAGGUUAGAUGUCUUGGUGAGGCUGCCGAGUAGAUGUAUUCUUCAUUCUAUUGUGCAAAACGAUGAGAGAAACCUUCUGGAAAGUUUCUCUCUGACACCUUCAGGAUAACAGAGGAAAAGAGCACAGAGAGACAUGAAGUUGCCUGGUUAUUCAGGGAGAGCACGCCUGGAUGAAAACAGGAGAAUACGGAGGUGUUUCAGAAUUCAACUCUGCUCCAUAGUAGAGGAGGAGUAUCUUUUCAUUCAAAACUUUCUCAAAGCGCAUGUCCUUCAUGGAAAUAGGUGGAGUGUGGAUGGAUGGGGAGAAGAUUUUCAGAAGAGGAGGGCUAGGGAGGAGAACGGGUCCAGUUUGGUUCCCUGUGUAGGCUUGAAGCUAGGCACUAGCUGAUGAGAGCUGUGAAGAGUGAAUGUACAGCUUUUUGAACAGUGUUAAAACCUCUGCUGUCUUAGUAGUGUGUUUAUUGGGCUCCUCUUUCUCUCCUGGUGUGAGAUUCUGUGAAACCAUUUACUGCCUGGCGGUGACCUCUCUGUAUAUGGCUGCUUCGUGUCUGUGACUCCAGUGCAGCCAAACCACAGCUGUCCUGCUGUGAAAAGGCUUUAUUUGUUUUCAGGUGCGUAGUGAAGAGGAGGAGGAGAGGUGGAUGUUUUCCAGGUACUGGUAUUUUUCAACGUAACGUUAAUUUUUCAGGAAGCUCCAAGAAGUGAAAGAAGCUCUACUUGAGUGAGUGUGGUGGUCACGAGAAAAUGAAAAUUUUUCUGUUGAUGAAUGGUGAUUCAACCUUAGUUUUCAUAAUAGCCUUGAAGUUUUCCUUUGGACUAUAUCCUAAAAUAUUAAAAAACCCAACAAAACUAUAUAAGUUGCAAAAGAUCUUUGAACAUCUCGGUACCGAAGUACUUAUGUCUGGGAGGGUUUUGGGGAUCAUGUAGCUCAUGUCCCAAGGCAGGAGCAGCUCUACAUAAAAUGCACUUCAGUUGUCAGGUGUUUUUUUCCCUUGGAAAUUUUCUGUUAUUUUAUAACUUCCCAACAGUUCUGCUCCCCGCACCAAAGAUCUUAAUAUAUUUAGUGUUCUGAUUUCUCUUUAGUAGUUAGAAAUGUCUCAGAAAGUGGUUAUUAAUAAAUCAUUAAAGGUUUGCAUCUCAUUUAAUUUUCUUGCUGCUCUACUACUCUGUAUUUUCAACCAUAGUACAAAGUCAUUCUGAAAAUAUAAAGAGAACUUUUUUUACAGUGGUGUUGAAUCUAAAUGAUGAGGACAAACCUGGAGAUUUGCUCUUUACCUGUAAUACUUUUUAUUAUUCAAGUUAUUUGCUUAGAUAAAAGAUUUCUUAGCCUGAUCUUGUUUUAUCUGGCAUCUAGGAAGAAGAAAUAAUCGUGUAUGCAGGGCUUUACAAACUGCAUUUCUUUAAGAGAACAUGGAGUCACUUCACCAAUAGGGCUUUCUAGGGAAUAGGGAAUAGCAAGGUUGAAUAUAACGCUUGAUAACUACAGAUAUUUUCAGUAGCACCAAAGGAGGUAUGGGAAGUGAUGAAAAAACUUAUGAAAGGUAAACGGACUAUAACUCAUACUAAGUAUCUCCCCUUGUGCAGAAGCUCUUUUUAAAUUACUCAGAUAAAUGAGCUCAUUUAUGGAAUAUUUUGUACUGCAUGAACUUAUAUGGGCACCUGUCAUGUAUAUAUAUUUUUAAUACUGAACUCAUAUAGAUGGCUUAAAGUCCCCCUUGCCCUUUAGUAAAUUUAAAUCUCCCACAAAGCUGCUGAACAGUAGUCAUAAAGAAACAUUUAUGGUUCAACAUAAUUUCCCUUCAUUUCUUUUUCUCUUUCUUUAAAAAAAAAAAAAGGCAGUUUAAAAGUAAUAAAGCACUUCCUUCUGUAAAUCUUUGAUCUUUUUUCUUCCUAAGGGAAGAUUAAUUUGUAAAUAUGCUAAUGGAUUUGUAUAAUAUGAAACCUUCAUAAGAAAAACUACAUUAGUUCAUAUGAAUGAACACAUCUAUCUUAUUCAAUUUAUAAACUAAUGGCUGAGAGCAUCAACACUGCAUUCUGCUUGGUCUCAUGUCCAAAAUCACUGCUUGUAUUUCUAAGACAACAUAGAAUUUUAUAAAAAAAUUGUUAAAUAUGGCUAAUUUUGUUGCUCCUGACUUCCUUUUUUUUCCUUUUUCUUUCCUUUAGUUGCAGUAGUGAGAUGUGCUGCUGUUUCAGCCAGAUGAAUACCCUGCUCUGAAGAAAUUAAAUGUGAUGGUCGUUGUGGUAUGUGGGCGUAAGGUACUCAGCCGCAUGCCCUCCUAAUGAAUCUCAUUGGCUUACAGCAAGGAGCUGAGCAUGUCAGCACAGUGAUCACUCAGGUGGACAGUCCCAGAAGCUGCAGGACCAAGGCUGCCAUGCUACAAGGCUUGGAGGACUUGGAUCCCACCAGUGUCUCUCUAGUUGCCCAACCACUGUGGCUGCAGUGCGGGAAAAACACAUCUCUCCCCAUGGCAGGAGCAGAAGGGAUGGGAUAUGGGCAAGGUCUUCAUGGGGCAGAUUCACCCCAGUGGAGAAUGAAGCUUAGCGCUGGAGGACUCUUAAGCGCUGACCCUGAACCUCUAAGCUUUCUACAGCUAUUUUUCAGCAUUGUAGGCCUGGUUUAUUAAGGUGAAGAUGACAUAGCUGGUGUCUUCCUCAAUUGAAAGCAAAACACUAGUGGAAUGAAAAGCACAUCUGCCAGUGAUGGUCAAGGUACCUAAAAUAAUAGCUUUUUAAGACAGUAUUACAGUCAUAUAACUUGUUGGGGAAAAGCACACUAUGGCUCAUAAUCUGAAUUAAACAUGUGUCAUUGUGGCUGAGGAAGGAAUCUUCCACCUUCCAGAAACCUGAUAUUUUGGACCAGAUCCCUCUCUGAACAGGUUGUAUGCUGCCCUUUUCAAAAUAUAGCUAUCAGAAGAUGCCCUUCAGCAGAUGUGUUAAGAGGACUUGGUGAGCUUAACAUGUUUCGCCUGCUUAAUUUAAUUUGGAAAAAUUCAACCAGAAAAUGAAGUUAUUAACAGGUUGGUACAUUCAGAGAUAAGAUGAUGUCACAGGAAAGCAGUCAAGUGGGUUGCUUGUCAAAAUAUAAAAUAUGUAUCUGUCAGAAGCAAAUGAUAGGUAAGCUGUGGCUGGGUGUAGGAUGCAGUGAAAAUAGCGUGCUAAAAAUUGAAACCGAAUCCCACCAGUCUGGAGCACAAGCUUUUAGUAACUAUUGUGGUGAUCAGAAAUACAACAAUUCUGGGGACAUGAACUGCACUGCUUAAACACAGUACACGUAAUUUCUUGGCACCAGUAGCCAGAAGCUUGUACAUCGGUAUUAGACCUCAAGCAAACAGGAGAGACCUCAAACGUGUGGCUAUUUCAACAGAUGUCUUUGGAACUGGGACGCCCCAUUAGCUUGGUUAUGCCAAAAUGAGGAUUAAUAAAUCUUUCCUGGAGUGACUUGAGGACCUUCAAGGCCUUAAAAUGAGAAAAUGGAGUCUGUCUAGCCAACGUGAUGAGCCUUUUUCUAUUAGAGAGGUUUAGAUCAAAGAAAGAAGUCUCUAGUGUGUUCUCUAGGAACACGUACGUGUCACGUCAGUCACAAGCCUCUUCCUGCCUUCUGGCUUACUAUAUAAAAUAGCUGGCACCAGGAGUUUAAAGUUAAUAAACUCGGGAAUUUUAAACGGCAAUUUGGAGUCUCCUAUGAGCAAAACAGAAUAGGCUACUUAGCAAGGAAUGCAGUCAAACUCUCAAAUACCAUGAUGCUAAAAUGAAAGAAACGCCAUUAUAAUAAAUGUCAGUAUUGUGUUAUCAUUGAAGUUGGGAAAAUGAUCCCACUAAUGUGGAACUUCAUUCACUAUGAGUUGCAAAACGGAGCUUUAAGACUGUAAACUCCUGGGGACAGCCCAUGAAAUCUCUCAGUUUGCUCAGGAUCUUCCAUGAUGCAGAGUUUAAUUGUCAUUGGGAACUCUCAGGACUAGCAGAAUACAAAUAAUAGAACUCCUAAAUAAAAUGCUGCUCUUAUAUUUAAAUGUCAGAAGGGACUAGUGUGACCUCUUGAUCUAUGAGCCAUAGGGCUUUGUUCAGUAAUACCACCAUGAUAUUUCUAAUUUAUGCUUCAGCUUACACAGUUCCUAAAGCCUCAGCUCGAGAAAUAGUCCUCAGGAAAUAUAAGUUUUAAUGUUGUUCUUAUGUUAACUUUUUUUCCCUUGUAUUUAAAAUAUUUCCUAUUGAAAUUUCUUUAGCUUUAACUUUUAACCUUUGGAUUUUAUUCUUCUUUUUAUGCUUGAAUAAACUUACAUCAAAACCCUUCUCUUUUAUAAAUAAAACAGGUGGAGUUUAAAUCUGUAAGUGAGGACCUGCUUCAGCUGUCUUUGAAGUCAACGGGAAACGUCCCACCAGCUCCCAGCAGGAGUUGGCUCAGACCCUGAUGGUUCACAUUGAUGCCCCAUUUGGGGUGGGAUACAGCGGGAUGCAGUGCAUGCAGAGGACUGUAGCUGAUGGGAUCCAUCCAAGGGCCUUGGAUGCAUUGGAAAAUGAAGGCAUUCGCAAGAACUGUUGAAGUCUGGAAACUUGAGGAAUGAACCCCAAGGGGUUGGCAUGUGUGUGGACUGUGGCCCUCACUGGCAUCUACCACCUUGCUCAAUGCCCCAGCCCACCUCCAGUGACAGCGGGAUUGUUGGUCUUUGCCUUUUGAAUAAAACCAGUGUUGUUCUCCCCAUCGCAUUGCUGGUUGCUCCAAAAACUAUUAAGACUAGUCUCACAAAGAUCUGCAUGUUCCUGGAGCAAUGACUCACAUGUCCCUGCAGUGGUGCCCUGGGAGCAUCAUAGAUAUCUGAUGGAACAGACCUGCUCAGCAUCUCACAGGAGUUUUAGUCUAAAGGUGUGUGUUUGAGUUGCGCUCUGACCAGGUUGCUGAAGGCAAAGGUACUGACAGAGAAGCAGAAAUGGUUGGAAAAGCAGUAUCGGUAGUAUCAGUCUCCCUUUCUCUUCUGCCCUAACCACCAACAGCUGGAGAACAGGCAGCAGAAAGGCAAGAGGAUCAUGUCUCAUGGAUGUGGUUAGCCUUGGACUGAGGCCAGUAUGGUCCCAUGGACUUGGCCCCCUGUUAGCGAUCAGAUUGCCCUGGUGUGCACCUGCAUUUUAGUGUCCUUCAAAAGGCACCCAGUGCAUGGUUUCCAGAAAGCUCUUCACAGCGGCUCCUGGUGUGAGAGGUGCUCUGGAACUGAGGUGAGAACCACAAGCUUGAUGAAACAUGCCAAGCUGUGUUAUAAUUCAGGCUUUUGCUGAAGAUCGAGUCUGCACAUCAUGGGACAGGAACGUAAGGACUCUGCCAGGUUUUAAUGCAUCGUACCGGCUAUUUUGACUUGGUUAAGUAGGAUGGGAGGAGGUCUGUCUCAGAGACAGGCAAGUGUCCUUUCCACCCAGCAGCAGGUAAGAUGAUCCGUUGCUUGACAAUGCAGAGGGUUAUCCAGUAUCACGCAGGUCAUGGGGCCACACAUCCAACUUGUAAAGUUUCUCAUCUCUUCUUUCACACUGGAGGGGGAGGGAGCUGGAGUCCAUUGCCACUUCCACACUGUAGGACUUUUACCAGAGAUUUAAAAGAUGUAGCUUCUGUACCUCUACAACAAAGCCCAAUGAAACUGCUAAAUCCUAUCUCAGAGAUGUCUCCUAAAAAAAAAAAAAAAAAAUCACGUUUGCGUCCGUGUUUUGAUCUGUUGUUCAAUGGUCUGCAGCUUUCUUAAUAGGCAUCUGAAGAUAAUUUAAAAUCUUGAUAAUUUUCAGUAGGUGCUGGAAGCAAGUGUCAGUUGUCAAUAUCUGUUUCUUGGUUAUGUGCAAAUACUUCAUUUCUGCUCAUACAAAAUUCCUAACAGUUUUUUAGGUGAGUCAGCAUGCUAAUGCCUUAAAUUAUCAUUAAAAAAAAAAAAAAGGAAUUAUUUAUUUUUCCACAAUAAUUAACAUUUAUGAAUAAGCACAUAAUUUUCUAAAUAUCUCGUGUGUUUUCUUAUUCCAAAUGUGCUGGUAGUCAGUGUGAUGGAAUUUAAACUGGUUCUGCCAGAACAUUUACAUGUUCUCGGUCAUGUGAGUUGUAGAGAGCAUGUGAGCUGGAAUUUGAAGUAAGGAUAGCUUAAUACAUCACAGGAUACACCUUUACAGAGGUAUUAAUUCACUGCAGGUUUACUCUACAUGGAAUCUUUGUAUUUUUAUGACAUGUACUGUUGGUUGUAAUGCCAUACUGGGUAUCAUGUAUAACAUCAAAGAGCUAAGUAAGUAUAAAGGUAUGCUGUAUUUCUUUAGUUCACGUCAGCAAAAUCCUUUUCAACCUUGGAUACCUCCUACUGAAAACCUUUAGCUCUUACUGCAUUUUUGUUUGCAGCAUUCCUGUCCAAAAAUAAUAUUUGUAACAGGAAAAUAGAAUGACGAGGCUUUUUUUUUUUUUUUUUUUUUUUUUUUUUACUGUAGUUUUAACUUAUUUAGCUCUUAGGUGUCCUUGGAAAGUGGAAAAAAAGUCUACCAAAUAAAGCUAAGUUCUGAAGGUAUCAUCAGCUUGCUUUAAACCCUGUCAUGAAAUUGUUUUUCUUUAAAUCAGACUGCUUCCCAAAGGCACCAUGAAAUUUUCCCCCACUGACAUAACGUCCCACAGCAGAUUUGCUGAAGUCUUCAGAGAUUACUCCUGUGCCAGGACUUCAGGCUCUGCUAAGCACAUCGACAAAGGUUUUUGUGGACAGGUCCAAGCAAGACAGAUAAAAGACAGGUGUGACAUGGAAGCCCUGUAGAUGUUUUCACAUCUGAAAAGUACAUGAACCCGGGGUAAUGGGCCCUCCUGAGAAGGAGGGCUUGGUCUCUUGAGCUUAGUGGCAUCCUAUGUAGCUGCGCAACUUCUAAGCAGUUUGAAAUACGAGUAGCCUGAGUGUCUGUCUCCUUUAGAAAAGUUGCUUAAAUAAAGGAUUUUGCAUGUGGAAGCUCUGUUGAGCUGAGGUGUUCGUUUAUGGGACAGGUGGGGCUGGGCCUGGGUCAGACCGGUGUAUUCUUUGUUCCCUUUGGAGAUGACCCUGUAAUUCCCUUACCAGAGGAAUGAUCGGGCUGCCCUCCCCAGAAGAAGACAAAGGGAAUGAUUGUCCAACCUUUGCAUGUACUGAUGGGUAGCUAUCAUUAGAUGGAAAAACGUGUUAGGAACUGGAAGGGUUUGACAAAAUAGUUUAAAAUAGUGGUUGCAUAUGAAACCAGCUGCUGCAGAUAUUAGCUUUUGCAGUAAUUUAAUUAUAAUAAUCUUUACAUUCUCUAUAGUCUUGCUUUUAGCAAGGCAAAUUACUUUUAUAAAUUUAUUUUUGUACAGUGCAUCUGAGAAGUGCCUGUCUCUGAGGUGGACAGAUGCUAAUCAGUACACAAAGUACUGCAUCACGUGUUUCAGCUCGGGACUCAGAAAUGUCAUAGGACCCACAGUAUCCUUGAACAGACAGGACCUCAGCUUCAGAUGUGUCACUCAAAAGACAGGUUGUAUAUGACACAUAGGUUGCUUUAUACCACUGUAUAAUUUGGUGCGCUUAUGCAAAGAAGUGUAUGUGGGAUCGAUGGCAUAUGGUAUAUUAAGAAAGAAUAACACCAGAUUUUUUAAAAAAUGCAUUCACCCAUUAAAUGGUGUAAAUUAAAGUAAGCUGUCAAAAUGACAGCACAAUAAUGCCAUCUUUGCAAUAUCACAUACUGCAGCAUAGUUAAAUCAUAUCACUUUUGUGGAAGAAUUACAGAUGAGAUCCAAGAAAAAAUUGCUUUCGAAAUGCAAUUCUUUGUUAGUUAAGAAUCAUCACUGCUAGCCAGGAUCCCCUAUAAACACAUAAAGCACAGAGUAACCAUAAUAAAUCAUGAUAAUUUAUAUCACAGCUAAUUCUGGGGAAGUAGCAUCAGGGGUUAUACUUCAGAUACACUUCAUAUUACUCAAACUGUAAUUAUUUUCAUUAAAAUAUAAAAUUGCUUACAGACGAUUUACUUGAAACACACAGCAUUGCGCAUUUAACCAUGUACACAACAGGGCCACAAGAGUUCAAAACAAAUAAAGUCAAGUGUUAAAUAACAGCACUCAUACUUUUUAAUUGCAUAUCUUUGUAGACACAAUCAAUGUACUUUUAAUAUUCCUUUUUUAGUGAAAUGUUGGACUAGCUUUUUCAAUCAUCAUCAUGUUGAUUAAAAGUCAAUGUCAAAAUAAACUUGAGAAAAUACUGUUAGGUGCUUGUAAAUACAGCCUCUCUAAUGGUUUCUCUGUGUCAAGAGGGCAAAUUUUAUUUCAGGAGAAAAAAAGGAAAUGCUUCAAGUUUGUGAGAAGGCGAGCAGUGGAAGGUUGAAGAGUUUGAAUGAUUUCAAGUGUAAUAAUUUAUAAUGCCACUUGCUCUCUAGUGCCUUUCUUUGACAAUCUCAGUGAGUUCUACAAAUGGUAAUUAAUUACGGUCUCUAACACCUCUGCAAGGUAUGUAUGGUGCAGUAUGAGGUGCGGAGCAGAGCAACCCUAGGAACCCCUGAAAUAUACAGGGGCUGCAGGAGAGCUUCCCUCUGCCACCAUUAGUCUUGAACAGCCUGUGAUAAUAUGUAGAAUCAGUGCCUAAUAUUUACAUAUUAGGUUUGAUUUAUUGCUGGUUAUCUGAUUUCACUUUUUAUAUGAUCAUCAGAGCAGCAGAGAUGCUAAUCUGAGAGCAGUGCUUUACUGAUUUGCACCUACUCUACCCCACAGACGUGCUGUGCAGCUGACAGUGGGGUUUUGCCUGCCUUUAUAUAUACUUUUUUUAAAAAAACAGGUCAAUGAAAUCCACUUACCAGAGCUGGAGUUGCACUAUUUGUCUCUUCUUUUGCCUUUUAAACCUUUAUUCCUUGAAACAAAUCCAUGGAAACUCUCUCUCUGCAUCCUUUCUAAUAGGGGGGAAUUUGGAUGGAAGUGUGGUAAGGCAGAACAGAGCUCUGUGGCUGUCCUGGAAAAGGAAAGGUAAGUUUAAUCAGCAUACCUGUUGCUCACUUGGUGAAAGUACUCUUUCCUGAAGCUUCUACAAGUUGCACUAACUUAAAUGCUUGUGCAAGCCUAAUCAAGAUCCAGAGUCUUAAUACAGUGAUGGAGCCUAUUUUGGGGCUCUUGAUCUAAACAGAACCAAGGCAACUUAAAUACAUCUCUUUUUAUCAAAUCUAGGGUCAGAUCCUGAGAAAAAAAAUGUCACCCAAAAAUGCUUUCCUGCAGGGUCAUCCCCCGUGCAGUGCGAAGGAUGGGUUUGGCCACAGGAAUGAGUCGAAAUCGGGGAGUUAAUGAGGUCUUUGCCUGUUUGCUGCUGAAGUUCCAUGACAACAGCGGGUGAUGCAGAGAUUUCCAGAGAAAGAAAGGAAGAGUUGAGCUUUCGGUUGUGCUAACAGCCCCUGUAGUCAGUGUCAAUACAUAGAACUUGACUCUAGCCCAUAUUUUCAAUAGUUUCACUAGAAAAUAGUUCUGAAAAUCUCCCGUAGCACACCUCUCUAUGGCAGGUCUUUGCCCAUCACUGCAGAUACCGUCAAGACCCUGGAAAUCUGCUGUGGCACAGCUGGAUUUUUUGUGUGUCUAUAACAACAUUCUCUCUUCAGAAGGGUUGAAAGGCCCAGGCAGGUUGGCUGAAAACUCUUCUGGUGAAGGCAUUUUUCCAGAUGCCUCUUCCAGCAGUUGGUUUCCAUGGCUAUCCCAGCAGGUCUUUUCUGGAGUUUGCCAGGGAUGUCUGGUUAGAAACCUUCUUUCCAGAGAUGCCUCCAAACCUGCCCCAAGCAGAGCUCCAGAAACUGCUGAGGAUGGAAAAAAUCAAGGUGUAAAUCAAGGGCAGCACGUAGAUUCUGCUUUUUUUCUCCGAGUCUUUGCAAAGCCACUGUGGUCCUUGCUGUACUUUCCCACCUCACAUCUAUUUAAAACUGGUGCUGGUUAUUUUCCUUGCAGACUUCAGAGCAGUUGCAGCCUCAAAAAUAAUCCCUGUUGCUUCAAGAUGUGCCGCCGGAGGACUCGCCCCCCACCAGGCUGUUCCAGGGAGGCCCUGACUGACCCAGUAUCCUCAUUCGAAGUGUUAUGGAGCAAGGCUAUGGAGAGCAUCUUCCUUGCUGGACGCCAUCUUCAAUGUGGGCAUUUCAAAGAUGGGAUUGGAACCUGGACCUCCUGCCAGCCCCAGAUGUGUGACCAUCAGGCUACGGGUCUGAUUCAGUCUUGCAGUUUUGAUGUCUCAAGCAAAUGUCAGCACCUUUACCGACAAACACAUCGACAAGUGGAUUAGAUAAGCACGUGGGCUGGAGAAGGCAUCUGCUUCUGGUCUUCUAAUGUACGUCAAGGACCUGUGUCUGGAGAGCUGUGCAUCUCCCCUGGUCAUCACGGAAAUCUGGACUGACUUCACCACAUACUUAUUUCGAACUGUACAAGUUACACCAUUGGACACUGACUGUCGGAGAAUGUUUACUACCAUGCUUACCAGAAUUUGGUUGAAGAGCCCUUGAGAUAAGUAUGAGAGGUUCAUACCAUGAGAUAAGUAUGAGAUUUCACAGGUGAAAUCUCUCUUUUCUUUAGUCAUCUAUAGACUGUUAUAAACUAUUCUUGUUUGAAACAGCAGCAACCCAAUAGGUGAUGCUUCAUGAAGGCUUCCUCGAGAGGGGUUGCAGCAACGGGGGACAUAAAUACUUCUCUGAUGUUUUUCAGAAAUACAGUUAUACCCAGAGAAUCAUUACUUUACUCCUGUUCUGCAACACAUAAAUACACGUCAGAUGUGUGGUAAACCAAAUUCUCUCAGGAGCUUGUCCUAAAAGAGGAAAAGACACAAUGAUUUAGAGCCUACAUCUGCAGCUCUUGCAGCUGCUUCGGUCCCUGCUGCUGAAGGAGAAUUCCCUGCAUCAAUGGCCUCUUGACGGAGGGGCUUAGAGCAGUUCCUGAAGCACAUGCCCAAGGACACCUAUGGCUGUUGCUAACCCACUGGGAAGGAGUGGAACGGACAGCCACCGUGCGGCUUGAAGGACAGAGGCUGCUCCUGCCACCAGAUGCCCCAUCUCGCACCAUCUCUGCUGCCACUUUGCAAGUGGAAGAGGACUCCCUGCCGGCUGCGACUCUUGUUGUGUUCUCUAGAAUUGAUUGAGAGCAGGAUUAGAGGAGGUAGCUUCCUAAACCACAGGGAGGGUCAGCACGGUGGGGCGCUGGCACGGCACACCUUUGUACUCAAGCUUGCAGGAGUCACUGGAGGGUGUGCUUAGCUGUGAAGGCCUGCUGGAAUGUCUUCAGUCAUUGGAGACACGCGUGGGACAUCUCUGUAACAAGGCAGCUGAAGAUGUGAGGAUGUUCUGGAGCAAAGGCUUGCACGACCCCUGUGUUUUGACAUUAUUCUUCAUGGCGAUAGAUGGGGAAUAUAGCAGUUCCAGCUACUGCAGCAGUGCAGUGUGAUUCCUUGCAGUCUACGUGCAAAAACCACCCUCUUAGUAAGCACCUCGUCUCCUCAGUGAGCUAGUAACACAUCUAUGACUUCAGUAAUUAAAGUAAGUUUUUAUUGCUUUUGACUUAUGUUAGCACUGGAGAGCAAGGAGAGAGACAAGGAAGGUAGGCUUCGCACUGGGGCCCUGGGAAACAGGCGUGCAGCUCCUGGCUGCUUCUGCUGCAGUGAAAAAAGACAGGACUGGAUCCUAAAGGUAUUAAAUGCCUAAAUCCUGUGGAAUUCAAUGUAAAUACUGUGGGGAUCUGGGCUGAAUCUCUCUAUACCUUAGCUCUUCAUCUGUCCUACAAGAAUAAUAAUUCUUCUCUCCUCAAAAUGGAGUAUAAUAAUAAACAUGUUAAGGAAAACAAGGUGCUCAGCUACUGUUGUCUCUGAAUGUAAAUAAAUAAAUAAUAAAAAAUAUAUAUAU
Long non-coding RNA from Falco peregrinus (peregrine falcon), 13143 nucleotides. RefSeq lists it as uncharacterized. NCBI's taxonomy places the organism in Eukaryota, Metazoa, Chordata, Aves, Falconiformes, Falconidae. The transcript is spliced from 21 exons. The record is from RefSeq and is a predicted model, not a curated record.